UGGGGACAUAAGUAAAUGCCAACAAAAUAACUUAGUUUGGUCAGUGUGCGUGUGAAUGCGUGCGUGUGAGUACGCGUGCGUGCGUGUAACCUUUAUUUAACUAGGCAAGUCAGUCAAGAACAAAUUCUUAUUUACAAUGACGGCCCGGACGACACUGGGCCAACUGUACGCCGCCCUAUGGGACUUCCAAUCAAGGCCGGAUGUGAUACAGCCUGGAUUUGACCAGGGACCAUCAUCAUGGCAAGCACAUAAAAUGUGCAGGUUUUGUAGCAGCUAAAACUGUUCACUUAUUUGUCAGUGACAAGUAACAUGACCAGAUGGACCAAUACAAUUACAUUUCACGCAUCUCGACAAAACUGCCCAAUCACAGCUGUGUAUGCAAACCAAAUGAUGAUCGGUAGCAGGAUUUUCUAACAGUAAAAAAAGGUAGCUACUACAUGCCAUGAAAAAAAAAGGUUUCCUAAUCAACUUGAAAAAUAAAUGGAGCCUAAUGAGAUUGAGCAGGUUCAGGAAACAAUACAGACACAAACAGAGACAGAGCCAGUGGCCGGGUCUUUUGAAGACCAUAAGGAUCCUUCCCUGGCCGCAUCUCAACACUUCAGCUUCAAGCAGAGAAGAGGAGAUCGUGUAAUUAUGGAAUGUAAGCUCUGCUUACCAAAGAUGGUGGAGGUGGCUGCCUACAAAAAAUCUGCAUCAAAUUUGAGGAAACAUGUAAUGGUUUGACAGAAUCAGCUUGACAGAAUCACACAGGACGAGACUGAGCAUCUAAGGCAGCAUUCAUCUGAUGAAGAGGACUUCUUCUCAUCACUGACAACCAAACGAUGAUCAGGUGUGACGGCUGGCCAGCCGUUGUCCCGUCAGCCUUUUACCGUGACGAUUGGAGGUGAUCCCUGUCCCCUCUUAGUGUCAGGCCGAGUGACGGGCA
Molecule: long non-coding RNA, 925 nt
Filed under: Salmo salar (Atlantic salmon)
Lineage: Eukaryota; Metazoa; Chordata; Actinopteri; Salmoniformes; Salmonidae
Description: lncRNA (ENSSSAG00000118673.1, ENSSSAG00020084508.1)
Source: RNAcentral